UCGAGAAUCUUCCGCAAUGGGCGAAAGCCUGACGGAGCGACACCGCGUGCAGGACGAAGGCCCUCGGGUUGUAAACUGCUGUCACGCUCUAGGAACCCCAUGUCGUGAAUAGCGGCAUGGCUGACCAAGGCGAAAGGAAGUGGCGGCUAACUCUGUGCCAGCAGCCGCGGUAAGACAGAGGCCACGAACGUUGUUCGGAAUCACUGGGCGUAAAGCGUGCGCAGGCGGUUGUGUAAGUCAGAUGUGAAAUCCCCGGGCUCAACCUGGGAAUUGCAUUUGAGACUGCACGGCUAGAGUGUGUCAGAGGGGGGUAGAAUUCCACGUGUAGCAGUGAAAUGCGUAGAUAUGUGGAGGAAUACCGAUGGCGAAGGCAGCCCCCUGGGAUAACACUGACGCUCAUGCACGAAAGCGUGGGGAGCAAACAGGAUUAGAUACCCCCGUAGUCCCUGAGCGGGCUGGCAAGGCGCAU
RNAcentral lists this ribosomal RNA (469 nucleotides) under uncultured bacterium. RNAcentral describes it as "bacterial SSU rRNA". It matches the Rfam family "Bacterial small subunit ribosomal RNA", at positions 355 to 825 of the family's 1533-position model. The record is from RNAcentral.